GUCUUAAUAGCUUAAUGGUAAAGCCGUACACUGUUAAUGUAUUUAUCCUAGUUCAAUUCUAGGUUAAGACG
RNAcentral lists this transfer RNA (71 nucleotides) under Insectozyma corydali. Its description in RNAcentral is "Candida corydali tRNA-Asn". It matches the Rfam family "tRNA". From Rfam's summary of the family: Transfer RNA (tRNA) molecules are approximately 80 nucleotides in length. Their secondary structure includes four short double-helical elements and three loops (D, anti-codon, and T loops). Lineage: Eukaryota; Fungi; Ascomycota; Pichiomycetes; Serinales; Debaryomycetaceae. The record is from RNAcentral.